AAAGACGAAACUCGAAACUUGACCUCAAAUCAGGUAGGACUACCCGCUGAACUUA
RNAcentral lists this ribosomal RNA (55 nucleotides) under Paxillus obscurosporus. RNAcentral describes it as "partial 28S ribosomal RNA". The record is from RNAcentral. Lineage: Eukaryota; Fungi; Basidiomycota; Agaricomycetes; Boletales; Paxillaceae.